Molecule: long non-coding RNA, 248 nt
Organism: Xenia sp. Carnegie-2017
Lineage: Eukaryota; Metazoa; Cnidaria; Anthozoa; Malacalcyonacea; Xeniidae
Exons: 3
Source: RefSeq, a predicted model, not a curated record
GGUAAAAUUGACCACGACAGAUGGACCACAAUAAAAAGAUCCCUCGGACACCAGCGACAACUCAAACAAAGUUCAUCAGCACAUCAUCCCUUUCAAAACGCCCAGGAGAUAAAGAGCAAAGUGCCCACGCAAGAGCAUGACAGAUCAAGUCUAUAUCAUAAUGAAGAGAAUGUCAUGAUUGAUCAAGUCGAAUGCCUUGCUAUAGUCCAUAAAGACUAAGCCGCUGACAUUGUUCUUAUCAAGGUCAA